GACGAACGCUGGCGGCGUGCCUAAUACAUGCAAGUAGAACGCACAGUUUAUACCGUAGCUUGCUACACCAUAGACUGUGAGUUGCGAACGGGUGAGUAACGCGUAGGUAACCUGCCUGGUAGCGGGGGAUAACUAUUGGAAACGAUAGCUAAUACCGCAUAAUAUUAAUUAUUGCAUGAUAAUUAAUGGAAAGGUGCAAUUGAACCACUACCAGAUGGACCUGCGUUGUAGUAGCUAGUAGGUGAGGUAACGGCUCACCUAGGCGACGAUACAUAGCCGACCUGAGAGGGUGAUCGGCCACACUGGGACUGAGACACGGCCCAGACUCCUACGGGAGGCAGCAGUAGGGAAUCUUCGGCAAUGGACGAAAGUCUGACCGAGCAACGCCGCGUGAGUGAAGAAGGUUUUCGGAUCGGAAAGCUCUGUUGUAAGAGAAGAACGGGUGUGAGAGUGGAAAGUUCACACUGUGACGGUAUCUUACCAGAAAGGGACGGCUAACUACGUG
This 505-nucleotide ribosomal RNA is filed under the name uncultured bacterium. Its description in RNAcentral is "partial 16S ribosomal RNA". It matches the Rfam family "Bacterial small subunit ribosomal RNA", at positions 28 to 507 of the family's 1533-position model. The record is from RNAcentral.